AACGCACCUUGCGCCCUCUGGUAUUCCGGAGGGCAUGCCUGUUUGAGUGUCAGUAAAUUCUCAACUUCGAGAAGUUUUAUUAACUUAUUGAAGCUUGGAUGUGGAGGUUUGUUGGCAUCCCUUGGAUGUUCAGCUCCUCUUAAAUAUAUUAGUGGAACCCUCCAAAUUUGUUGGGCCGCCUUGGUGUGAUAAUUAUCUACGCUUUGGUUUGGCUUUAACUCUCUCAGAUGGUCUUCUUUUUAGGGCUAUUCUGGUUGUGAUAUCGCACUAGUUUGCUUUAUCUAAAGGGAAAGUCUGCUUUCUAACUGUCUGUGUAUAUGGACAAUUUAUUGACUAUUUGACCUCAAAUCAGGUAGGACUACCCGCUGAACUUAA
This 375-nucleotide unclassified non-coding RNA is filed under the name uncultured fungus. RNAcentral's name for it is "sequence contains ITS2". The stretch from base 1 to 52 matches the Rfam family "5.8S ribosomal RNA", at positions 103 to 154 of the family's 154-position model. The record is from RNAcentral. Lineage: Eukaryota; Fungi.